CCUACGGGAGGCAGCAGUGGGGAAUAUUGCACAAUGGGGGAAACCCUGAUGCAGCGACGCCGCGUGAGUGAAGAAGUAAUUCGUUAUGUAAAGCUCUAUCAGCAGGGAAGAAAAUGACGGUACCUGAGUAAGAAGCCCCGGCUAACUACGUGCCAGCAGCCGCGGUAAUACGUAGGGGGCAAGCGUUAUCCGGAUUUACUGGGUGGAAAGGGAGCGUAGACGGCAGUGCAAGUCUGGAGUGAAAGGCGGGGGCUCAACCCCCGGACUGCUCUGGAGACUGUACGGCUGGAGUGCAGGAGAGGUAAGUGGAAUUCCUAGUGUAGCGGUGAAAUGCGUAGAUAUUAGGAGGAACACCAGUGGCGAAGGCGGCUUACUGGACUGUAACUGACGUUGAGGCUCGAAAGCGUGGGGAGCAAACAGGAUUAGAUACCCUAGUAGUC
RNAcentral lists this ribosomal RNA (440 nucleotides) under uncultured bacterium. Its description in RNAcentral is "partial 16S ribosomal RNA". It matches the Rfam family "Bacterial small subunit ribosomal RNA", at positions 338 to 795 of the family's 1533-position model. The record is from RNAcentral.